Molecule: ribosomal RNA, 492 nt
Filed under: uncultured bacterium
Lineage: Bacteria
Description: partial 16S ribosomal RNA
Rfam family: Bacterial small subunit ribosomal RNA
Source: RNAcentral
AGUGAACGCUGGCGGUAGGCCUAACACAUGCAAGUCGAACGGCAGCACAGUAAGAGCUUGCUCUUACGGGUGGCGAGUGGCGGACGGGUGAGGAAUACAUCGGAAUCUACUUUUUCGUGGGGGAUAACGUAGGGAAACUUACGCUAAUACCGCAUACGACCUACGGGUGAAAGCAGGGGAUCUUCGGACCUUGCGCGAUUGAAUGAGCCGAUGUCGGAUUAGCUAGUUGGCGGGGUAAAGGCCCACCAAGGCGACGAUCCGUAGCUGGUCUGAGAGGAUGAUCGGCCACACUGGAACUGAGACACGGUCCAGACUCCUACGGGAGGCGGCAGUGGGGAAUCUUGGACAAUGGGCGCAAGCCUGAUCCAGCCAUACCGCGUGGGUGAAGAAGGCCUUCGGGUUGUAAAGCCCUUUUGUUGGGAAAGAAAAGCAGCAGGUUAAUACCCCGCUGUUCUGACGGUACCCAAAGAAUAAGCACCGGCUAACUUCGUG